UGGGGAAUAUUGCACAANNGGCGCAAGCCUGAUGCAGCGACGCCGCGUGGGGGAUGACGGCCUUCGGGUUGUAAACUCCUUUCGCCAGGGACGAAGCGUUUUGUGACGGUACCUGGAGAAGAAGCACCGGCUAACUACGUGCCAGCAGCCGCGGUAAUACGUAGGGUGCAAGCGUUGUCCGGAAUUACUGGGCGUAAAGAGCUCGUAGGUGGUUUGUCGCGUCGUCUGUGAAAUUCCACAGCUUAACUGUGGGCGUGCAGGCGAUACGGGCAUAACUUGAGUACUGUAGGGGUAACUGGAAUUCCUGGUGUAGCGGUGAAAUGCGCAGAUAUCAGGAGGAACACCGAUGGCGAAGGCAGGUUACUGGGCAGUUACUGACGCUGAGGAGCGAAAGCAUGGGUAGCAAACAGGAUUAGAUACCCUGGUAGUCCAUGCCGUAAACGGUGGGCGCUAGGUGUAGGGGCCUUUUGGGGUUUCUGUGCCGUAGCUAACGCAUUAAGCGCCCCGCCUGGGGAGUACNNNNNCAAGGCUA
This 532-nucleotide ribosomal RNA is filed under the name uncultured bacterium. RNAcentral's name for it is "bacterial SSU rRNA". It matches the Rfam family "Bacterial small subunit ribosomal RNA", at positions 355 to 896 of the family's 1533-position model. The record is from RNAcentral.